CAAUAGCGUAUAUUAAAGUUGUUGCAGUUAGAACGCUCGUAGUCGGAUUUCGGGGUGGGCCGACCGGUCUGCCGAUGGGUACGCACUGGUCGGCGCGUCCUUCCUUCCGGAGACCGUGCCUACUCUUAACUGAGCGGGGGCGGGAGACGGAUCGUUUACUUUGAAAAAAUCAGAGUGUUUCAAGCAGGCAGCUCGCUCUUGCAUGGAUUAGCAUGGGAUAAUGAAAUAGGACUUUGGUGCUAUUUUGUUGGUUUCGAACACCGAAGUAAUGAUUAACAGGGACAGUCAGGGGCACUCGUAUUCCGCCGAGAGAGGUGAAAUUCUCAGACCAGCGGAAGACGAACUACUGCGAAAGCAUUUGCCAGGGAUGUUUNCACUGG
This 380-nucleotide ribosomal RNA is filed under the name uncultured eukaryote. Its description in RNAcentral is "partial 18S ribosomal RNA". It matches the Rfam family "Eukaryotic small subunit ribosomal RNA", at positions 592 to 976 of the family's 1831-position model. The record is from RNAcentral.